Molecule: ribosomal RNA, 133 nt
Filed under: Pteropus alecto (black flying fox)
Lineage: Eukaryota; Metazoa; Chordata; Mammalia; Chiroptera; Pteropodidae
Source: RNAcentral
GUCUAUGGCCAUGCCACCCUGAUCUCGGAAGCUAAUCAGGGUCUGAUCUCAUCUGAUCUCAGAAGGUAAGCAGGGUUGGGCCUGGUUAGUACUUGGAUGGGAGACCACCUAGGAAUAUCAGGUGCUGUAGGCA